UGGGCCUUUUUUAGCGUUACCUUUUUUUUUUUUUUUAUUAUAUAAUCUUCAAUGCGUGAAUGUUCGGAUUGCGGCGACGUGGGCGGUCCGCUGCCUGCGACGUUGUGAGAAGUCCACUGAACCUUAUCAUUUAGAGGAAGGAGAAGUCGUAACAAGGUUUCCGUAGGUGAACCUGCGGAAGGAUCAUUGUCGAUGCCUUACAUGCAGACCAACACGUGAAUCAGUUUGAACACAUAUGGUUGGUUUGAGGUGUUCGACACCUCGGCUUGCCUCUGGUUCGGAGGUGGACGACGAAGUGCGUUCUCCUUUGUGCCAAAACACAAACCCCGGCGCUGAAUGCGUCAAGGAAUUUUAAAUUUGCUCUUAGCGCACCUGCUUGGCACCGGAGACGGUUUUCAUGCGGGUUGUGUUAUGACACAUAAUAUAGAAUGACUCUCGGCAACGGAUAUCUAGGCUCUUGCAUCGAUGAAGAACGUAGCGAAAUGCGAUACUUGGUGUGAAUUGCAGAAUCCCGUGAACCAUCGAGUCUUUGAACGCAAGUUGCGCCCGAUGCCAUUAGGUUGAGGGCACGUCUGCCUGGGCGUCACAUAUCGAAGCCUCUUGCCAAUUUCCUUUUGAUAGGUGUUGUGCGUGGGGAAAGUUGGCCUCCCGUGAGCUCCAUUGUCUCAUGGUUGGUUGAAAAUCGAGACCUUGGUAGGGUGUGCCAUGAUAGAUGGUGGCUGUGUCACGCACGAGACCAAAUCAUGUGCUGCUCUAUUGAAUUUAGCCUCUUUUACCCACAUGCGUUUCUAAACGCUCGUGAUGAGACCUCAGGUCAGGCGGGGCUACCCGCUGAAUUUAAGCAUAUCAAUAAGCGGAGGAAAAGAAACUAACAAGGAUUCCCUUAGUAACGGCGACGACGGGGGGAAUAUAUUAUAAAAAAAACCUAGAUUGGCCGCGUGGGUAAG
This 947-nucleotide ribosomal RNA is filed under the name Trifolium resupinatum. RNAcentral's name for it is "eukaryotic LSU rRNA". The stretch from base 431 to 586 matches the Rfam family "5.8S ribosomal RNA". Lineage: Eukaryota; Viridiplantae; Streptophyta; Magnoliopsida; Fabales; Fabaceae. The record is from RNAcentral.